This 440-nucleotide ribosomal RNA is filed under the name uncultured bacterium. RNAcentral's name for it is "partial 16S ribosomal RNA". It matches the Rfam family "Bacterial small subunit ribosomal RNA", at positions 338 to 795 of the family's 1533-position model. The record is from RNAcentral.
CCUACGGGAGGCAGCAGUGGGGGAUAUUGCACAAUGGGGGGAACCCUGAUGCAGCGACGCCGCGUGGGUGAAGGAGCGUUUCGGUGCGUAAAGCCCUAUCGGCAGGGAAGAAGAUGACGGUACCUGUAUAAGCAGCCCCGGCUAACUCCGUGCCAGCAGCCGCGGUAAUACGGAGGGGGCGAGCGUUGUUCGGAGUGACUGGGCGUAAAGAGCACGUAGGCGGUGUUGUAAGUCAUUAGUCAAAGACUAGAGCUCAACUUUAGUAAGGCUAGUGAUACUAUAAUACUAGAGUAUCAGAGAGGAUUGCAGAAUUCCUGGUGUAGCGGUGAAAUGCGUAGAUAUCAGGAGGAAUACCGUUAGCGAAGGCGGCAAUCUGGCUGGAAACUGACGCUGAGGUGCGAAAGCGUGGGUAGCAAACAGGAUUAGAUACCCGUGUAGUC